Molecule: ribosomal RNA, 758 nt
Filed under: uncultured Glomeromycotina
Lineage: Eukaryota; Fungi; Glomeromycota
Description: SSU rRNA
Rfam family: Eukaryotic small subunit ribosomal RNA
Source: RNAcentral
GGCCUACCAUGGUGGUAACGGGUAACGGGGUGUUAGGGCACGACACCGGAGAGGGAGCCUGAGAAACGGCUACCACAUCCAAGGAAGGCAGCAGGCGCGCAAAUUACCCAAUCCCGACACGGGGAGGUAGUGACAAUAAAUAACAAUACAGGGUUCUUUAGGAUCUUGUAAUUGGAAUGAGUACAAUUUAAAUCUCUUAACGAGGAACAAUUGGAGGGCAAGUCUGGUGCCAGCAGCCGCGGUAAUUCCAGCUCCAAUAGCGUAUAUUAAAGUUGUUGCAGUUAAAAAGCUCGUAGUUGAAUUUCGGGAUUGACGUGACGGUCGUGCCUUAAGGGGUAUGAACUGUUGCAGUCAAUUUCUCACCUUCUGGAGAAAUAUGAUGUCCUUAAUUGGGUGUCAUAUGGAACCAGGACCUUUACCUUGAAAAAAUUAGAGUGUUUAAAGCAGGCUUAUUGCUCGAAUACAUUAGCAUGGAAUAAUGAAAUAGGACAUCCGAUUCUAUUUUGUUGGUUUCUAGGAUCGAUGUAAUGAUUAAUAGGGAUAGUUGGGGGCAUUAGUAUUCAAUUGUCAGAGGUGAAAUUCUUGGAUUUAUUGAAGACUAACUACUGCGAAAGCAUUUGCCAAGGAUGUUUUCAUUAAUCAAGAACGAAAGUUAGGGGAUCGAAGACGAUCAGAUACCGUCGUAGUCUUAACCAUAAACUAUGCCGACUAGGAAUCAGACGAUGUUAAUUUUUUAAUGACUCGUUUGGCACCUUACG